This 484-nucleotide ribosomal RNA is filed under the name uncultured bacterium. Its description in RNAcentral is "partial 16S ribosomal RNA". It matches the Rfam family "Bacterial small subunit ribosomal RNA", at positions 29 to 507 of the family's 1533-position model. The record is from RNAcentral.
AUGAACGCUGGCGGCGUGCUUAACACAUGCAAGUCGAACGGGAUCCAAGGGGUGCUUGCACUUUUUGGUGAGAGUGGCGAACGGGUGAGUAACACGUGAGUAACCUGUCCUUUUCUUCGGGAUAAGCAUUCGAAAGGGUGUUUAAUACCUUAUGUUCUGUCUGCCUCGCAUGGGGUGGGUGGGAAAGGCUUUGGCCGGAUUUGGGUGGGCUCGCGGUCUAUCAGCUUGUUGGUGGGGUGAUGGCUUACCAAGGCUUUGACGGGUAGCCGGCCUGAGAGGGUGGUCGGUCACAUUGGGACUGAGAUACGGCCCAGACUCCUGCGGGAGGCAGCAGUGGGGGAUAUUGCACAAUGGGCGAAAGCCUGAUGCAGCGACGCCGCGUGGGGGAUGAAGGCCUUCGGGUUGUAAACUUCUUUUGCUCUGAACAAGGCAUGCCAGUGGGUGUGUUGAGUGUAGGGGUUGAUUAGCGCCGGCUAACUACGUG